CUUGCUUUCUCUUGAGAGCGGCGGACGGGUGAGUAAUGCCUAGGAAUCUGCCUGGUAGUGGGGGAUAACGUUCGGAAACGGACGCUAAUACCGCAUACGUCCUACGGGAGAAAGCAGGGGACCUUCGGGCCUUGCGCUAUCAGAUGAGCCUAGGUCGGAUUAGCUAGUUGGUGGGGUAAUGGCUCACCAAGGCGACGAUCCGUAACUGGUCUGAGAGGAUGAUCAGUCACACUGGAACUGAGACACGGUCCAGACUCCUACGGGAGGCAGCAGUGGGGAAUAUUGGACAAUGGGCGAAAGCCUGAUCCAGCCAUGCCGCGUGUGUGAAGAAGGUCUUCGGAUUGUAAAGCACUUUAAGUUGGGAGGAAGGGUUGUAGAUUAAUACUCUGCAAUUUUGACGUUACCGACAGAAUAAGCACCGGCUAACUCUGUGCCAGCAGCCGCGGUAAUACAGAGGGUGCAAGCGUUAAUCGGAAUUACUGGGCGUAAAGCGCGCGUAGGUGGUUUGUUAAGUUUGGAUGUGAAAUCCCCGGGCUCAACCUGGGAACUGCAUUCAAAACUGACUGACUAGAGUAUGGUAGAGGGUGGUGGAAUUUCCUGUGUAGCGGUGAAAUG
RNAcentral lists this ribosomal RNA (615 nucleotides) under uncultured bacterium. RNAcentral describes it as "bacterial SSU rRNA". It matches the Rfam family "Bacterial small subunit ribosomal RNA", at positions 79 to 688 of the family's 1533-position model. The record is from RNAcentral.